Talpa occidentalis (Iberian mole) is the source of this 411-nucleotide long non-coding RNA. RefSeq lists it as uncharacterized. The transcript has 3 exons. The record is from RefSeq and is a predicted model, not a curated record. NCBI's taxonomy places the organism in Eukaryota, Metazoa, Chordata, Mammalia, Eulipotyphla, Talpidae.
ACAACCAUGAGGAACUCAUAGAAGUUGCAGCUGAAUUUAAGGAACUCUUUCUAAUAAUUAGAGCCAAUAAAUCAUCUCACUGCUCUCUUCACAGAGUAAUGGGCAGCCCAUUAAUCUAGGAGGUUGAAAUUAAGUAGACCUCUUUAAGACAGAGGUUAAAAAGAAGAUUAGGACUAACUUCUAAAGGAUUCCCAUAUUUGAAGGCAAAGGCGUCAAAACAUCGCUUAUCAUUGAUGCCAUGGAAUAUAUCACUCAUGUUUUCUCGGAUGUAUUCUAUUCCAUUUGGAGUUUAUUUUUGUGUAUGAGGUUACCAUUUUCUGUUGGCAAAUGCAAUGUCUGCUAAGAACAUACCUAGACGUGACCAAAGGCAAUAAAAUCUUGUGUUGCACUAAAUCUGACCAAAAGCAAUAA